CAGGCAGAAAACUCAUGUGCUCCUACUGGGCGUGGAAUGUACUCCACGGGUUGGAAAUGGCCUUCCUGUUACUUUCUCUCCUAUUACUAUUCUGGAUUCUCUUAUUACUGGAAAAUGUCCUCAAUACCCAGGGAUCACUCAGCACAAGGUCAAGAGCUGACUGUCAGCAAGAAAGAAAAGCAGAGCAAAGAAAUGAAGACCAUGUGAAAGGAAAACAUUGCUUUCAAGGCUCUGCCUACAAGGUCCACAUGAAAGUAAGUAUAACAUUAAAAACUCUGGCUGCUAGAGCUAGGAUAGUGGAAGGUGCAAGAUAUUUGCUGGAGUGAUGCAGAGUCCAGAGGGAAAGUUGUCCCAAGAAAAAUCCAGGCGGGGGGAAAGACUCGGCACCAGGGUCAGAUUAUGAGGGUCAUUUAAUAUGUGAUCCUGAGCAAAUCAGAGUUCUUCUGGGCUUUAAAAGGAAGAUUCAAUAAUGGCACCUACUCCAUAAGGCUGUUGUGAG
Molecule: long non-coding RNA, 499 nt
Filed under: Capra hircus (goat)
Lineage: Eukaryota; Metazoa; Chordata; Mammalia; Artiodactyla; Bovidae
Description: lncRNA (ENSCHIG00000007424.1)
Source: RNAcentral